This 457-nucleotide ribosomal RNA is filed under the name uncultured bacterium. Its description in RNAcentral is "bacterial SSU rRNA". It matches the Rfam family "Bacterial small subunit ribosomal RNA", at positions 346 to 796 of the family's 1533-position model. The record is from RNAcentral.
GUGCAGCAGGCGAGAAUAGUUGAAAUGGGCGAAAGCCCGAUCACGCGACGCCGCGUGGAGGAGGAAGGCCUUCGGGUUGUAAACUCCUGUCAGGGGUUAUGAAGGCGUCAUCGCUAAUAUCGGUGACGUUUGACAAAGGCCCCAGAGGAAGCUCCGGCUAAAUCCGUGCCAGCAGCCGCGGUAAGUCGGAUGGAGCAAGCGUUGUUCGGAAUUACUGGGCAUAAAGCGCAUGUAGGCGGUUCUGAAAGUCAGGUGUGAAAGCCCCCGGCCCACCCGGGGAACUGCAUUUGAAACUUCAGGGCUUGAGUGGAGGAGGGGAGAGUGGAACUCCUGGUGGAGCGGUAAAAUGCGUAGAUAUCAGGAGGAACGCCGGUGGAGAAGUCGACUCUCUGGCCUUCUACUGACGCUGAGAUGCGAAAGCUAGGGGAGCAAACAGAAUUAGAUACCCCGGUAGUCC